Molecule: ribosomal RNA, 491 nt
Filed under: uncultured bacterium
Lineage: Bacteria
Description: partial 16S ribosomal RNA
Rfam family: Bacterial small subunit ribosomal RNA
Source: RNAcentral
AGUGAACGCUGGCGGUAGGCCUAACACAUGCAAGUCGAACGGCAGCACAGUAUGAGCUUGCUCUUACGGGUGGCGAGUGGCGGACGGGUGAGGAAUACAUCGGAAUCUACUUUUUCGUGGGGGAUAAUGUAGGGAAACUUACGCUAAUACCGCAUACGACCUACGGGUGAAAGCAGGGGAUCUUCGGACCUUGCGCGAUUGAAUGAGCCGAUGUCGGAUUAGCUAGUUGGCGGGGUAAAGGCCCACCAAGGCGACGAUCCGUAGCUGGUCUGAGAGGAUGAUCAGCCACACUGGAACUGAGACACGGUCCAGACUCCUACGGGAGGCAGCAGUGGGGAAUAUUGGACAAUGGGCGCAAGCCUGAUCCAGCCAUACCGCGUGGGUGAAGAAGGCCUUCGGGUUGUAAAGCCCUUUUGUUGGGAAAGAAAAGCAGCAGGUUAAUACCCCGCUGUUCUGACGGUACCCAAAGAAUAAGCACCGGCUAACUUCGU